AACACAUGCAAGUCGAACGCUCUCUGGCAACAGAGGGAGUGGCGGACGGGUGAGUAGCACAUGGGAAUCGACCCACACGUGAGGAAUACCACCGGGAAACCGGUGACAAUACCGCAUACGCUCGAGCAGUCGAGCAAAGCUCUUUUCGGAGGGCGCGCGUGGACGAGCCUGUGUCUGAUUAGUUAGUCGGUGGGGUAAGAGCCUACCAAGACUGCGAUCAGUCGCUGGUCUGAGAGGAUGAUCAGCCACACUGGGAUUGAGAACGGCCCAGACUCCUACGGGGGGCAGCAGUGAGGAAUCUUCGGCAAUGGGGGCAACCCUGACCGAGCAACGCCGCGUGCAGGACGACGGCCUUCGGGUUGUAAACUGCUUUUCUGAGGGACGAGCAAGGACGGUACCUCAGGAAGAAGCUCCGGCUAACUACGUGCCAGCAGCCGCGGUAAUACGUAGGGAGCAAGCGUUGUCCGGAGUUACUGGGCGUAAAGCGCACGCAGGCGGUCAGUCGCGUUCGUGCCGACAGCGACUCGCUUACCGAGUCGAGGCGUACGAAAACGGAGUGACUUGAGGGUCAGAGAGGGACACGGAACUCCGGGUGGGAUGGUGAAAUGCGUUAAGAUCCG
This 620-nucleotide ribosomal RNA is filed under the name uncultured bacterium. RNAcentral's name for it is "bacterial SSU rRNA". It matches the Rfam family "Bacterial small subunit ribosomal RNA", at positions 50 to 700 of the family's 1533-position model. The record is from RNAcentral.